This 1436-nucleotide ribosomal RNA is filed under the name bacterium WHC5-1. Its description in RNAcentral is "bacterial SSU rRNA". It matches the Rfam family "Bacterial small subunit ribosomal RNA". The record is from RNAcentral.
AGAGUUUGAUCCUGGCUCAGAACGUACGCUGGCGGCACGCCUAACACAUGCAAGUCGAACGAAGUAGCAAUACUUAGUGGCAGACGGGUGAGUAACAUGUAGGUAUCUACCCUUUGGCCUGGAAUAACACGAGGAAACUUGUGCUAAUACCGGAUAAGUCUUUACGGAGAAAGCUUUAUGCACCAUUGGAUGAGCCUGCACUUGAUUAGUUUGUUGGUGGGGUAAUGGCCUACCAAGACUGUGAUCAAUAGCUGAUUUGAGAGGAUGAUCAGCCACAUUGGGACUGAGACACGGCCCAAACUCCUACGGGAGGCAGCAGUGGGGAAUCUUGCACAAUGGAGGAAACUCUGAUGCAGCGAUGCCGCGUGAGUGAAGAAGGCCCUUGGGUUGUAAAGCUCUUUCGUCGGGGAAGAAAAUGACUGUACCCGAAUAAGAAGGUCCGGCUAACUUCGUGCCAGCAGCCGCGGUAAUACGAAGGGACCUAGCGUAGUUCGGAAUUACUGGGCUUAAAGAGUUCGUAGGUGGUUGAAAAAGUUGGUGGUGAAAUCCCAGAGCUUAACUCUGGAACUGCCAUCAAAACUUUUCAGCUAGAGUUUGAUAGAGGAAAGCAGAAUUUCUAGUGUAGAGGUGAAAUUCGUAGAUAUUAGAAAGAAUACCAAUUGCGAAGGCAGCUUUCUGGAUCAUUACUGACACUGAGGAACGAAAGCAUGGGUAGCGAAGAGGAUUAGAUACCCUCGUAGUCCAUGCCGUAAACGAUGUGUGUUAGACGUUGGAAAUUUAUUUUCAGUGUCGCAGCGAAAGCGAUAAACACACCGCCUGGGGAGUACGACCGCAAGGUUAAAACUCAAAUGAAUUGACGGGGACCCGCACAAGUAGUGGAGCAUGUGGUUUAAUUCGAAGAUACGCGCAGAACCUUACCAACACUUGACAUGUUCGUCGCGACUUUAAGAGAUUAAAGUUUUCGGUUCGGCCGGACGAAACACAGGUGCUGCAUGGCUGUCGUCAGCUCGUGUCGUGAGAUGUUGGGUUAAGUCCCGCAACGAGCGCAACCCUCACUUUUAGUUGCCAUCAUUAAGUUGGGCACUCUGAAAGAACUGCCAGUGAUAAGCUGGAGGAAGGUGGGGAUGACGUCAAGUCCUCAUGGCCCUUACGUGUUGGGCUACACACGUGCUACAAUGGUAUCUACAACAGGAAGCAAGACGGCGACGUUAAGCAAAUCCUUAAAAGAUACCUCAGUUCGGAUUGCACUCUGCAACUCGAGUGCAUGAAGCUGGAAUUACUAGUAAUCGUGGAUCAGCGUGCCACGGUGAAUGCGUUCCCGGGUCUUGUACACACCGCCCGUCACACCAUGGGAGUUGGUUCUACCUUAAGGCAAGGUUUCAAACCCUUGACCACGGUAUAGUCAGCGACUGGGGUGAAGUCGUAACAAGGUAACC